UCGAAGAGAACCAUCACAGUCUAAACUUCUAUCUGAACUGCUAAAUCCCAAACCUGGCUUCUUCUCUGCUUUGCUGGAAAUUGCGAUACCUACGGAAAACUCGAUUAUCAAAAACAAACACAUGUAUGGACUCCGUAGCACAAAUUAGAAUCAAAGAACAGCAUAAUCUACCUUUUUCACGCCAUCAAAGACCAUAAUAACAACAAUCCCGGCACUCUCACAAAAGAAAAAAACAAUCACACUUCAAAACAAAUAGAUCCAAUACUGAAAGACUGAAGAAGAAGAAGAGAAGCGCAGAAAAAGGUUGAGAACUCACCAAACGGAGAUAUGGCACUUCCAAGCAGGGAAGGAAUAACAAAGGAAAACCCAAAGAGCAAGAAAGAGUAGCGGAGGAAGAGAAUUAAAGAGACUAA
Molecule: long non-coding RNA, 413 nt
Filed under: Nicotiana tabacum (common tobacco)
Lineage: Eukaryota; Viridiplantae; Streptophyta; Magnoliopsida; Solanales; Solanaceae
Description: long non-coding RNA (NTAB_LNC008523)
Source: RNAcentral